AAAGUCGUAACAAGGUUUCCGUAGGUGAACCUGCGGAAGGAUCAUUAUGAAUUCAGUAGCUUGCUACUGUGACUGGGGGACUGGGAAAAUAUUGGUUACCGCCUUUACAAGUACCUACCCCCUAUCAUACCCUUGAUUUUUGAGUACCCAAGUUUCCUUGGUGGGCUUGCCCGCCAAAAGGACAAUUAAUAAACCAUUUUGAAUUUGAAAUCAGCGUCUGAAUAAUUUAAUAAUUACAACUUUCAACAACGGAUCUCUUGGUUCUG
This 266-nucleotide unclassified non-coding RNA is filed under the name Ascomycota sp. Its description in RNAcentral is "partial contains small subunit ribosomal RNA, internal transcribed spacer 1, and 5.8S ribosomal RNA". The stretch from base 1 to 47 matches the Rfam family "Eukaryotic small subunit ribosomal RNA", at positions 1785 to 1831 of the family's 1831-position model. The record is from RNAcentral. Lineage: Eukaryota; Fungi; Ascomycota.